AGGAAUUUGUCCACAGAUUCCCCUGAGAUCUGACCAGAAGAAAUGAAAAUUGAUGGCAGGUCUGUAGAUGUUCAGACUUUGCAGCUGGCUUCUGUCAGCCACCUGUCAUUGCUUUUUAUUUGUUCACUUGCUUUGGGUUUUGCAAGUGACUGUCUCUGUCCCUAUUUGAUCUGC
Non-coding RNA from Choloepus hoffmanni (Hoffmann's two-fingered sloth), 174 nucleotides. The record is from Rfam. Lineage: Eukaryota; Metazoa; Chordata; Mammalia; Pilosa; Megalonychidae.